UAAAUGCAAUGAAAAUAUAAUACUCAAAGGAAAGAAGCUUUUGCUAAACAUCCUCAAAGAAUUCCACACUUGAUUGCUGCUAGAGAGUGAUUGGUGGAGUGAUUAAAUGCUUCUUUUCUCUCUUUUAGGAUUGAAUGAGCUUUUCUCGAAUUUGAAAUUGAAUGCUUGUAAAAUCUUAUGAUUUUUUAUUUCAAGAGAGUAUUUAUAGUUACUAUUUACCCUUGAGAAUAUCUUAGAGUUGGUUUAGAGCCAUUGGAGUGUGUUUAAUACGUAUUAAAUGCACCAAAAACUAACUGAAAAC
RNAcentral lists this long non-coding RNA (301 nucleotides) under Elaeis guineensis (African oil palm). Its description in RNAcentral is "long non-coding RNA (EGUI_LNC038582)". Lineage: Eukaryota; Viridiplantae; Streptophyta; Magnoliopsida; Arecales; Arecaceae. The record is from RNAcentral.